GCCCCGAGUAGUGCAUGCGGGGCGGGGCGGCCGUGAGCCGGAGGCGAAGAUGGAAGGCUUAACGCUGAGCGAUGCGGAGCAGAAAUACUAUUCAGACCUCUUCUCCUACUGCGACAUUGAGAGCACCAAGAAGGUGGUGGUCAACGGGCGGGUGCUGGAGCUGUUCCGGGCCGCGCAGCUGCCGAACGACGUGGUCCUACAGGCUGGAGUGCUAUGGCAUGAUCUCGGCUCACUGCAACCUCUGCCCCCCAGGUUCAAGUGAUUCUUCUGCCUCAGCCUCCUGAGUAGCUGGGAUUACAGGCAUGUGCCACCACGCCUGGAUCAUGGAGCUUUGUGGUGCAACAAGACUUGG
RNAcentral lists this small RNA (352 nucleotides) under Pan troglodytes (chimpanzee). Its description in RNAcentral is "processed transcript". The record is from RNAcentral. Lineage: Eukaryota; Metazoa; Chordata; Mammalia; Primates; Hominidae.